Molecule: ribosomal RNA, 253 nt
Filed under: uncultured bacterium
Lineage: Bacteria
Description: partial 16S ribosomal RNA
Rfam family: Bacterial small subunit ribosomal RNA
Source: RNAcentral
UACGGAGGAUGCAAGCGUUAUCCGGAAUGAUUGGGCGUAAAGCGUCCGCAGGUGGCUAUGUAAGUCUGCUGUUAAAGAGUGAGGCUCAACCUCAUAAAAGCAGUGGAAACUACAUGGCUAGAGUGCGUUCGGGGCAGAGGGAAUUCCUGGUGUAGCGGUGAAAUGCGUAGAUAUCGGGAGGAAUACCUAUGGCGAAAGCAGGCUACUGGACCGUCACUGACUCUGAUCUGCGAAAGCUAGGGGAGCAAACAGG